UUGAACGCUGGCGGCAGGCCUAACACAUGCCAGUCGAACGGUAACAGGAAACAGCUUGCUGUUUCGCUGACGAGUGGCGGACGGGUGAGUAAUGUCUGGGAAACUGCCUGAUGGAGGGGGAUAACUACUGGAAACGGUAGCUAAUACCGCAUAACGUCGCAAGACCAAAGAGGGAGACCCUCGGGCCUCUUGCCAUCGGAUGUGCCCAGAUGGGAUUAGCUUGUUGGUGGGGUAACGGCUCACCAAGGCGACGAUCCCUAGCUGGUCUGAGAGGAUGACCGGCCACACUGGAACUGAGACACGGUCCAGACUCCUACGGGAGGCAGCAGUGGGGAAUAUUGCACAAUGGGCGCAAGCCUGAUGCAGCCAUGCCGCGUGUAUGAAGAAGGCCUUCGGGUUGUAAAGUACUUUCAGCGGGGAGGAAGGGAGUAAAGUUAAUACCUUUGCUCAUUGACGUUACCCGCAGAAGAAGCACCGGCUAACUCCGUG
This 489-nucleotide ribosomal RNA is filed under the name uncultured bacterium. RNAcentral describes it as "partial 16S ribosomal RNA". It matches the Rfam family "Bacterial small subunit ribosomal RNA", at positions 30 to 507 of the family's 1533-position model. The record is from RNAcentral.